UGGUCAAGUUAUUAAGGGUGCAGGGCGGAUGCCUUGGCACUAGGAGCCGAUGAAGGACGUGAUAAGCUGCGAUAAGCUUCGGGGAGUUGCACGUAAACUUUGAUCCGAAGAUUUCCGAAUGAGGAAACUCACUUAGAGUAAUGUCUAAGUAUCAUUAAGUGAAUACAUAGCUUAAUGAGGGGAACUCAGGGAACUGAAACAUCUAAGUACCUGAAGGAAGAGAAAGAAAUUCGAUUCCGUAAGUAGCGGCGAGCGAACGCGGAUUAGCCCAAACCAAUAAAGUUUUCUUUAUUGGGGUUGCGGACAUAUCAUAACGAAGAGGUAUCGUAAUUGAAGAGGUUUGGAAAGA
Molecule: ribosomal RNA, 349 nt
Filed under: Clostridioides difficile
Lineage: Bacteria; Bacillati; Bacillota; Clostridia; Peptostreptococcales; Peptostreptococcaceae
Description: partial 23S ribosomal RNA
Rfam family: Bacterial large subunit ribosomal RNA
Source: RNAcentral